Long non-coding RNA from Pipra filicauda (Wire-tailed manakin), 236 nucleotides. RefSeq lists it as uncharacterized. The record is from RefSeq and is a predicted model, not a curated record. Lineage: Eukaryota; Metazoa; Chordata; Aves; Passeriformes; Pipridae. The transcript is spliced from 2 exons.
CAUCCAGCCUGGCCUUGAACACUUCCAGGGAUAUCCCAAAGUUUCUUUACAGGAGGACAGAUUGAUCCAGCUGCAUCAUUGGGAUUUGGAGGUGCAAGACAAGAUCCCUGGCUCUUUAUGAACCAGCUGGAUGCCCCAUCGUGUGUUACUGGGAGUUUCCAUCCUCCUUUUCUCCUGAAAUGAAAAACCCUCCAAAUAUUCAGGAUGAAAGCCAAUAAAUUAGUCAUCUAUUCUUA